This 27-nucleotide non-coding RNA is filed under the name Cricetulus griseus (Chinese hamster). Lineage: Eukaryota; Metazoa; Chordata; Mammalia; Rodentia; Cricetidae. The record is from RNAcentral.
AAUGUGUUUGGAACUCUGCUGAAGUGU